Molecule: long non-coding RNA, 2168 nt
Organism: Bos indicus x Bos taurus (hybrid cattle)
Lineage: Eukaryota; Metazoa; Chordata; Mammalia; Artiodactyla; Bovidae
Source: Ensembl
CGAGCACCUCUUACACACCUUACACACACAUACCCCACCUCACAGACCACACGCACGUGCACACACGCCACACAUACACCUCACACAGGACACAGACACGCAACACACACAUGCAAGAUAGCAAACAUACAACAAACACACCCCUCACACACACCCCUCACACACACCCCUCACACACACCCCUCACACACACCCCUCACACACACCCCUCACACACACCCCUCACACACACCUCACACACACCCUCACACACACCCCUCACGCCCCUCACACACACACCCCUCACACACACCCCUCACACACACCCCUCACACACACCUCACACACACCCCUCACACACACCCCUCACACACACCCCUCACACACACCUCACACACACCCCUCACACACACCCCUCACACACACCUCACACCCCUCACACACACCUCACACACACCCUCACACACACCCUCACACACACCCCUCACACACACACCUCACACCCCUCACACACACACCCCUCACACACACCCCUCACACACCCCUCACACACACCCCUCACACACACCUCACACCCCUCACACACACACCCCUCACACACACCCUCACACACACACCCCUCACACACACCCCUCACACACCCCUCACACACACACCUCACACCCCUCACACACACACCUCACACACACCCCUCACACACACACCCCUCACACACACCCCUCACACACACCCCUCACACACACCCCUCACACACACCUCACACACACCCCUCACACACACCCCUCACACACACCUCACACCCCUCACACACACCUCACACACACCCUCACACACACCUCUCACACACACCCCUAACACACACACCCCUCACACACACCCCUCACACACACCCCUCACGCCCCUCACACACACACCCCUCACACACACCCCUCACACACACACCCCUAACACACACCCCUCACACACACCCCUCACACACACCCCUCACACACACCCCUCACACACACCCCUCACACACACCUCACACACACCCCUCACACACACCCCUCACACACACACCUCACACACACCUCACACCCCUCACACACACCCCUCACACACACCCCUCACACACACCCCUAACACACACACCCCUCACACACACCCCUCACACACACCCCUCACGCCCCUCACACACACACCCCUCACACACACCCCUCACACACACACCCCUAACACACACCCCUCACACACACCCCUCACACACACCCCUCACACACACACCUCACACACACCCCUCACACACACCUCACACACACCCCUCACACACACCCCUCACACACACACCUCACACACACCUCACACCCCUCACACACACCCCUCACACACACCUCACACACACCCCUCACACACACACCUCACACACACCUCACACACACCUCACACCCCUCACACACACCUCACACACACCCUCACACACACCCUCACACACACCCCUCACACACACCCCUCACACACCCCUCACACACACCCCUCACACACACCCCUCACACACACACCCCUCACACCCCUCACACACACACCCCUCACACACACCCCUCACACACACACACCUCACACACACCCCUCACACACACCCCUCACACACACCCCUCACACACACCCCUCACACACACCCUCACACACACCCCUCACACACACCCCUCACACACACACCCCUCACACACACCCCUCACACACACACUUCACACCCCUCACACACACCCCUCACACACACACUUCACACCCCUCACACACACCCCUCACACACACCCCUCACACACACACCUCACACACACACCUCACACACAUACCUCACACACACCUCACACACACCCCUCACACACACACCUCACACACACACCUCACACCCCUCACACACACACCCCUCACACACACACCUCACACCCCUCACACACACCCCUCACAUACCUUAUUAUAUUUAUCACACACACAACUACACACUCCCCAUAGACACUACAACUGCACAUACUGCACAAUCUCACAAGCCACAAACACCUUAUACACACCACACACACACACGCCACACACCUCAUACCACGCACCCCUCACAUGCACAUCACGCAUCCCUUGGACACCUCACACACUCCGCACACUCUCUCGUCUUCAUGUUAAAAAGCAUUUGCUUUUGCCUCAUUGCUUCCACACUG